Molecule: ribosomal RNA, 389 nt
Filed under: uncultured bacterium
Lineage: Bacteria
Description: bacterial SSU rRNA
Rfam family: Bacterial small subunit ribosomal RNA
Source: RNAcentral
AGCGAACGCUGGCGGCAGGCCUAACACAUGCAAGUCGAACGGAUCCUUCGGGAUUAGUGGCGGACGGGUGAGUAACACGUGGGAACGUGCCUUUUGGUUCGGAAUAACUCAGGGAAACCUGUGCUAAUACCGGAUGUGCCCUUCGGGGGAAAGAUUUAUCGCCAUUAGAGCGGCCCGCGUCUGAUUAGCUAGUUGGUGGGGUAAAGGCCUACCAAGGCUACGAUCAGUAGCUGGUCUGAGAGGAUGAUCAGCCACACUGGGACUGAGACACGGCCCAGACUCCUACGGGAGGCAGCAGUGGGGAAUCUUGCGCAAUGGGCGAAAGCCUGACGCAGCCAUGCCGCGUGAAUGAUGAAGGUCUUAGGAUUGUAAAAUUCUUUCACCGGGGA